GAUGAACGCUAGCGGCAGGCCUAACACAUGCAAGUCGAGGGGCAGCACAGAAACAGCAAUGUUUUGGUGGCGACCGGCGGACGGGUGCGUAACGCGUAUGCGACCUACCUUUAACAGGGGGAUAACGGAGAGAAAUUUCCACUAAUACCCCAUAACAUCGAUCAAGGCAUCUUGAUUGGUUGAAAACUCCGGUGGUUAAAGAUGGGCAUGCGUUGUAUUAGGUAGUUGAUGAGGUAAUGGCUCACCAAGCCUACGAUACGUAGGGGGACUGAGGGGUUAGCCCCCCACACGGGUACUGAGACACGGACCAGACUCCUACGGGAGGCAGCAGUGAGGAAUAUUGGUCAAUGGGGGCAACCCUGAACCAGCCAUGCCGCGUGCAGGAAGACGGCUCUAUGAGUUGUAAACUGCUUUUAAACAGGGAUAAAGCACAGUAUGUAUACUGUGUUGAAGGUACUGUAAGAAUAAGGAUCGGCUAACUCCGUGCCAGCCGCCGCAGUAA
This 502-nucleotide ribosomal RNA is filed under the name uncultured bacterium. Its description in RNAcentral is "partial 16S ribosomal RNA". It matches the Rfam family "Bacterial small subunit ribosomal RNA", at positions 28 to 523 of the family's 1533-position model. The record is from RNAcentral.